GGGGUUGUGGCUCAGUGGUAGAGCACUCGCCUUGCCAGACGCUAGGUCCUGGGUUCAAUUCUCAGCACCUUA
This 72-nucleotide transfer RNA is filed under the name Ictidomys tridecemlineatus (thirteen-lined ground squirrel). RNAcentral describes it as "Spermophilus tridecemlineatus (thirteen-lined ground squirrel) tRNA". It matches the Rfam family "tRNA". Rfam says of the family: Transfer RNA (tRNA) molecules are approximately 80 nucleotides in length. The record is from Rfam by way of RNAcentral. Lineage: Eukaryota; Metazoa; Chordata; Mammalia; Rodentia; Sciuridae.